ACACACGCUCCAGCCUGUCUGUGUUGCUAUGUACAUUAUUAUAUGUAUUUCAGGCCAUAUCUGUGUUUUCCAAAUGUCUCCAGUUGGGUUUUGACUGGUCAAAUUGUUGAGAUAGGUAGGUAGAUGCGCUUUUCUGCAUAAAUGUUCUGUUCACACAUGAAGUUGGAUAUAAAUGUUGGAUUGUUGCUUUGAUGCAAGUUUCUGAGACAUUUUAACCCAAAGUAGAUAUUAGUAGAAACGUUUUCUGCCAUCACUGAAGUUGCAAAAUGGGAAACAUCAUCAACCAGAUUAGGACUUUCCCUAAAGUGUUUUCUUUACCACUUAGAGGACAUGUGGUGAACCAGUCCUUCAUCUUCUGACCCUUCACCAAAGCUAAAGAGCAGCAGCUCUGACUCUCCUCUCCCUGUCACUAUGGCCUGCAGCAUUUUAGAGCAGGCUCGUGUUUUGAAGGCCUUUGUUCCUGUUUGCACCAAGCGUGGCCUGCAGCACGGAGGUGUCUUUGUUGCUCUAAAUUGUCCCUUUGUUGCAUCUCUGGGCGCUGAAUUGCUCUUUGUGUUUGCUGACUGAUAAAGCUUGCAAACAGUCACCACAGUCACACACAUGUGUGCAAACACAGAUACACAGCCAGAGGUGUGGAUAACGACGUUACGUCCACAUAUUUCACACUCACAACCCCACCUGGAAUACAGUAGAGCCAGAAUAGUUCUUUCUCAUGUCCCAUCUGAUCCUCGGGAGGUCGUGCUCGAUUGGUAACUCUCAGGGAGCGUGGACUGUCUCGUAUUUGCAUUUUUAUGGCCUGAUGUAGAGAGCUUGUGAGGAUGAUUAAAUUGUUGGUUUCUGCACAUCGGGAGCACCUCUUCAUACUUGACACACACAUGUUCACUGGAUUAUUAGAUUAAUGUAGUUACGAAAUCGAACCCGUUCAUCUUGUUGCUCUGUUCAUCCACCUCCUCUUGGUUUCUUUGCGCUUUCUUGACCUCUCGGCUUCUUGUCUCUAAUCCCCGGAGUGCACUCUGGUUAUUUUGUCCGCACACCACAUCUGCCCGCUCUCCUGCUUUCAGCUUGUGUGUUUGUUUUUUUUUUCUUUUUGGGGAGGGGUAAAUGUCAGAGUAAAUGUCUCCUGGUUGUUGGGCAAAAGCAGGAGCCUCUGUUGCUAAAGCAAACACUCACCCGGACAGAUAACAACCACAAGCCUUCUGUUUUCCGCAGGCAGUUUAUUUGCACACAAAUACAUAGACGGCACGCCCACGGGCGCUAAUGUCAGACAUAAACAGAAGCCGGAAACAUAUGUGCAUGAAGGAGAAACAAAGAGGCUCCACUGAAUGGGUGUUUCCUGAUCACACAGAAGAUGCACCUGUUCAUCACAGCAGGGUUGUGUCAAAAAGGGCAUCUGACAAAUAACUCUCUGCCAAACCACCUGUGCAAAUCAGUGAAAGGAUGAUUCACCGUGGCGACCCUGGAUAGGAUGUGCCGAAAGACGGUAGAUUUGCUGCACAAAAGGCCCAAACCACCAUCCCUCCACCUCUGUGUUUUAAACUGCUUUGGGACUCUCUGCUGUGCAUCUGGGACAAGUGUUCACCUUUCUGGAACUCUCCUGAACAAACCGUGCUUUUUCUGUCUUUUCUAGCCUUCGGGGUUUGAGGUGUGCUUUCUGGAUCAUUUUAAUUACUUUUAGAAACAUCAUUUCCCAGAAGCAUUGCAAUUUUUUGGGGGGAAAUGAUUUCCAUCAGUGAGGCAAAAAUCAAUGGCUGGAUCUUUCAGCACAACAAUGUCCCCAAACCCAUUGCACGGGCAAUGAAGGAGGUGCUGCAUUAAAAGCAUUUCAAGGUUCUGGAGUGGCCAAACCGGUCAACGGACCUCAAUCCUACCUGGGGCGAGACGUAAAGCCGAGGUUGCCUGGUAACCGCCCCACUUUUGGCCCACUGUCCAUGCCAAAAAGAACCUUUUAGCAUAGGUCUCAUGAGUAUCUUUAGUAACCAUGUGUUACUAAUAAAGAUUACACUUCAAAAUUUUACAAAUAUGGCAGAAAAUUACAAAAAGGUCAAGACAUCUUGUUUCAUUUUACCUUAGAUAAACAGUGAAAUUAUAAAAUAAAAAUGUUUUGAAGGUGAAACUAAAAAUCUUAUCCAUCAAGAAAGAUGUUUGAUUAGUGUGCAAAUGUCAGGAUCAUCACUGCUAAUAUUAUAAGCAGAGGCAUUUUAAAAGUCAUUUCAAAGUGAUUGAUCUGGAUAUUCAAACUGAUGGUUCUGCCAGCCUUAAAUUGAGAGUAACUGGAAAUGAUACAUCUUUAUCAAGAUGUAUUAUAGUUUCCAACUUGACAAGAGCGAUUCACAACCAGUUAUGGUGGAGAGAAUCCAGUAAUUUUCCAAAAUAAAACAUAUUUGGGAAUCUGAUUAUGAACAAAACAGGCACAAUGUUAGUUAUGUAUACUUUCAGUGGGGACUGGUACCAAGUCACCCACAGACCGGUGCCGGUCCACUGCCCAGGGUUGGGGACCGCUUGUUUUGAUGACACUGUUCUUAACUUUUCCUGAAAUAUGUCUCUUGAAACAAAUAUUCGUAUUUAUAAAUUAUUACAGAAAAAGUGGUCAUUUUGAAUGUUUUUUCUUCUCUUGUUGCAGCAAAGAAGUACCGGUAAUAAAAGUACACAAUAACGUCUGACGUUCUGUUUGAUAAGAGAAAAGUCACAAAAAUAGCAGGACCUUAAUUAUUUUAAUUAUUUGCCCCUCAGAAAAGGUGCAUUUAUCAACUCAAAACUAUGACUAAAGACAGAGCUUUCAAAGGAUUUGAUACCUAAGUAAAUGGAUGUUCACAAGAGCUUAUGGUACUCUGAUGAGUAAAUGUAGUUAAACGUCGUGUCGGUCUGAACUGAGGUCUACUGAAGCCAAAACGAUGAUGAAGAGGGCAGUGUUUCAUCACUGACAUCAUUUUCUGAGACUGAUUCAGAACAGGCGAGGGAUGUGCAGUUCCUGAUCAGGCCUCUAGGUGGGGCUGCCGAUGCAGGCAUCCAUAAUAGAAAAAUAAUAAUAAUCAAAAAUACAAAGAAAACCUAUUUAUUUAUUCAGAAAUUAAAAAAACAAAUGCCAUACAGAUGUAUUUACAAUUUGGUAAAAAAAAGUCCACAAUGUAUGGAUUAUGGUUUGUAUGUGUAUUACAGAUUUAGUGUUUACUUCAAGUCUUUUGUAAAAUACUUUUAGAUCUUGAAAUCUUUGCUUGCUUGUUUACUCACAAAGUUCUACAGCAAUAAUAAAGCUGUUUACUGUAAGAUAAUUCUUUAUUUUUAGUUUACUUAAAGGGCUUAAACUCUGCAAAAGAACCACUUUUCUUAUAAAAUAUGAGUUAUUUACGCAGCUAACUUUCCUACAUGGAAGUAAGACGACUCGAUCUCUGAGGCCUCGGCAGAGUGUCUGUGUUUUGCCCA
Long non-coding RNA from Oryzias latipes (Japanese medaka), 3420 nucleotides. RefSeq lists it as uncharacterized. Lineage: Eukaryota; Metazoa; Chordata; Actinopteri; Beloniformes; Adrianichthyidae. The record is from RefSeq and is a predicted model, not a curated record.